This 330-nucleotide unclassified non-coding RNA is filed under the name uncultured fungus. RNAcentral describes it as "sequence contains ITS1". The stretch from base 1 to 107 matches the Rfam family "5.8S ribosomal RNA", at positions 50 to 154 of the family's 154-position model. The record is from RNAcentral. Lineage: Eukaryota; Fungi.
GAAAUGCGAUACUUGGUGUGAAUUGCAGAAUCCCGUGAACCAUCGAGUCUUUGAACGCAAGUUGCGCCCGAAGCCAUUAGGCCGAGGGCACGUCUGCCUGGGUGUCACAAAUCGUCGUCCCCCCAUCCUUUUGGAUCAGGGACGGAAGUUGGUCUCCCGUGUGAUACCGCAUGCGGUUGGCCAAAAUCCGAGCUUAGGACGUCAGGAACGUCUCGACAUGCGGUGGUGAAAAAUCGUCUCAAUGUGUCGGACGAUCCUGUCCUUAAGCUCUCGAUGACCCAAAGUCCUCAACGCGACCCCAGGUCAGGCGGGAUUACCCGCUGAGUUUAA